ACUGGAAAUGGAGAGAGAAAGAAAGAAAAACUCAGAUUUCAUAUUUUCUUGUGAUUACUUUCGUUUUUGGUGUUUUUUUUUUUU
RNAcentral lists this non-coding RNA (84 nucleotides) under uncultured Chlorophyceae. Lineage: Eukaryota; Viridiplantae; Chlorophyta; Chlorophyceae. The record is from RNAcentral.